UGUUUUGCUCAGGUUUGCUGCUCAAUAGUCAAAGUGCUUUUUGAAUCUGCAUGACAUGUUUGAUGUACAUGUCACGGGGGGAAGCUUGAUUUUAUUUAAGCAUGCUUUUACUUUGAAUUUGCUGUGUUUUUGUCUUAUUUAUUAUUGCAUGCUUUUAUUUUGAAGUGUGUUUGUGUUACGUUGGUUUUACUUCCCCACCGGAGACAUACCUUAAUCAAGCAUAAGGACUUACACCUGGCACCCAGAGAGGGGAGUGACUGUUCUUGGAUAAAAAGGACACUGGAAGAUACCCGGGGGACGAGGGAGGACACAGAGGGCACGAGGGAGGACACGGAGGUCACAACGGGCCGGACAGCAGGAAGCAGACAGAGAGACAGAGCAGAUCAUCGCACUGGAAGAGGUCACAACGGGCCGGACAGCAGGAAGCAGACAGAGAGACAGAGCAGAUCAUCGCACUGGAAGAGGUCUGAAGAGACACCGGAGCAAACACCGACCGUUAGCGGCUAUAAUUGGGAGAAGGUAAAACUUCUCCCUCCCGCGUAAGUCCCGUUUCAGACCGGUGUUUGUGUAGUGUGUAAUAUAUAAAGUUGUGCCUUGUUAAAGGACAUUGACUGGCCCUGAGUUUCCCUCGACAGGCUGCCGAAGAGCGGAGCCAGGUGAAGAGCAGGUGGUCGCCACCAGAGACCCGCGACUGCCGUUGUUGACCUCCCACUCCAUCCGUGCCACAUUAUUUUAGCUGGGUUUUAGUUGUUUGUGUUCUUUGUUUAGUUUAUUUGAAGGUAGAGCUUUUAGUUGUUUUUACUUAUUUUAAAAUAAAUUGUGUUCAACUGUGUUCCACUGGCUGUACUCAUUGUUUUAAAAAUAACACUGUUUACUGCUCUCCCCCGACAUAAAAGAACCUGUUUACCCUAACUUUAAUUUGGUGAUCCUAAGAGGUCCUAGGCCUCAGUUAAACCUAGGUGGCGUUGUCGGCACUUGUGUUUUAAUUUAUCCACCCUUAGCACGGCUCACAUACACAUAUGCAACCACAUACGUAGAGGGUUAGGGCUAACCCUCUAAUACCAAACAUAAGGCAGUCAAAGAA
Molecule: long non-coding RNA, 1084 nt
Filed under: Dicentrarchus labrax (European seabass)
Lineage: Eukaryota; Metazoa; Chordata; Actinopteri; Moronidae
Description: lncRNA (ENSDLAG00005031592.1)
Source: RNAcentral